CCUACGGGGGGCUGCAGUGGGGAAUAUUGGGCAAUGGGCGCAAGCCUGACCCAGCAACGCCGCGUGAAGGAAGAAGGCUUUCGGGUUGUAACCUUCUUUUAAGAGGGAAGAGCCGAAGACGGUACCUCUUGAAUAAGCCACGGCUAACUACGUGCCAGCAGCCGCGGUAAUACGGAGGAUCCGAGCGUUAUCCGGAUUUAUUGGGUUAAAAGGGUGCGUAGGCGGUUCGUUAAGUCAGUGGUAAAAUUGAGGGGCUCAACCCCUUCCCGCCAUUGAAACUGGCGUUCUUGAGUGGAAGAGAAGUAUGCGGAAUGCGUGGUGUAGCGGUGAAAUGCAUAGAUAUCACGCAGAACCCCGAUUGCGAAGGCAGCAUGCCGGCUUCCGACUGACGCUGAAGCACGAAAGCGUGGGGAUCGAACAGGAUUAGAUUCCCCGGUAGUC
RNAcentral lists this ribosomal RNA (441 nucleotides) under uncultured bacterium. RNAcentral describes it as "partial 16S ribosomal RNA". It matches the Rfam family "Bacterial small subunit ribosomal RNA", at positions 338 to 795 of the family's 1533-position model. The record is from RNAcentral.